UAAAGGAGACCUACCCACUCAGAUAUUGAAAGCAAUUAGUGAUUAAAUAUUGAGUUGGUCAUCCUGGAAGGUCGGUCGCCGAAAGUUGUAAUCUUUCUUUCAAACUAUAUUUUGGUUCGUAUGGGCUAUUAGCUCAGGUGGUUAGAGCGCACCCCUGAUAAGGGUGAGGUCCCUGGUUCGAGUCCAGGAUGGCCCACCUGAAAAAAGUUACGAGUCAGCAGUUGAAUAAAUUCGAUUGUUGAUAAUUGAUAACUCAUAACUUUUGAUCAAGGGGGGUAAAGAAAAGAGCGUAUGUCAGCACUGUGUUGGCACUCAAGAGUAGGCUAAGUUCUCGAUUAGUGAUGUGUAUUCGGAAAAAAUUCAGCAACUGAGCAUCUUGUUGCCAGACUGCUGGAUGUAUUUCCAGCAAACGAACCUUGAAAACUGCAUAGUGAAGCGAAUAAUUGCAGGCAGACACAGACAUAUAGAGUCGUGUUUGCAUGAAGAAUUACCAAUUGUUUAUU
RNAcentral lists this transfer RNA (503 nucleotides) under Tolypothrix sp. 40-T3 Mares. Its description in RNAcentral is "16S-23S riboomal RNA intergenic spacer". The stretch from base 123 to 196 matches the Rfam family "tRNA". Lineage: Bacteria; Bacillati; Cyanobacteriota; Cyanophyceae; Nostocales; Tolypothrichaceae. The record is from RNAcentral.